This 1244-nucleotide ribosomal RNA is filed under the name uncultured Acinetobacter sp. RNAcentral describes it as "bacterial SSU rRNA". It matches the Rfam family "Bacterial small subunit ribosomal RNA", at positions 77 to 1316 of the family's 1533-position model. Lineage: Bacteria; Pseudomonadati; Pseudomonadota; Gammaproteobacteria; Moraxellales; Moraxellaceae. The record is from RNAcentral.
AGCUUGCUACCUGACCUAGCGGCGGACGGGUGAGUAAUGCUUAGGAAUCUGCCUAUUAGUGGGGGACAACAUUCCGAAAGGAAUGCUAAUACCGCAUACGCCCUACGGGGGAAAGCAGGGGAUCUUCGGACCUUGCGCUAAUAGAUGAGCCUAAGUCAGAUUAGCUAGUUGGUGGGGUAAAGGCCUACCAAGGCGACGAUCUGUAGCGGGUCUGAGAGGAUGAUCCGCCACACUGGGACUGAGACACGGCCCAGACUCCUACGGGAGGCAGCAGUGGGGAAUAUUGGACAAUGGGCGAAAGCCUGAUCCAGCCAUGCCGCGUGUGUGAAGAAGGCCUUUUGGUUGUAAAGCACUUUAAGCGAGGAGGAGGCUACUUAGAUUAAUACUCUAGGAUAGUGGACGUUACUCGCAGAAUAAGCACCGGCUAACUCUGUGCCAGCAGCCGCGGUAAUACAGAGGGUGCGAGCGUUAAUCGGAUUUACUGGGCGUAAAGCGUGCGUAGGCGGCUUCUUAAGUCGGAUGUGAAAUCCCUGAGCUUAACUUAGGAAUUGCAUUCGAUACUGGGAAGCUAGAGUAUGGGAGAGGAUGGUAGAAUUCCAGGUGUAGCGGUGAAAUGCGUAGAGAUCUGGAGGAAUACCGAUGGCGAAGGCAGCCAUCUGGCCUAAUACUGACGCUGAGGUACGAAAGCAUGGGGAGCAAACAGGAUUAGAUACCCUGGUAGUCCAUGCCGUAAACGAUGUCUACUAGCCGUUGGGGCCUUUGAGGCUUUAGUGGCGCAGCUAACGCGAUAAGUAGACCGCCUGGGGAGUACGGUCGCAAGACUAAAACUCAAAUGAAUUGACGGGGGCCCGCACAAGCGGUGGAGCAUGUGGUUUAAUUCGAUGCAACGCGAAGAACCUUACCUGGUCUUGACAUAGUAAGAACUUUCCAGAGAUGGAUUGGUGCCUUCGGGAACUUACAUACAGGUGCUGCAUGGCUGUCGUCAGCUCGUGUCGUGAGAUGUUGGGUUAAGUCCCGCAACGAGCGCAACCCUUUUCCUUAUUUGCCAGCGGGUUAAGCCGGGAACUUUAAGGAUACUGCCAGUGACAAACUGGAGGAAGGCGGGGACGACGUCAAGUCAUCAUGGCCCUUACGACCAGGGCUACACACGUGCUACAAUGGUCGGUACAAAGGGUUGCUACCUAGCGAUAGGAUGCUAACCUCAAAAAGCCGAUCGUAGUCCGGAUUGGAGUCUGCAACUCGAC